This 220-nucleotide ribosomal RNA is filed under the name uncultured bacterium. Its description in RNAcentral is "partial 16S ribosomal RNA". It matches the Rfam family "Bacterial small subunit ribosomal RNA", at positions 794 to 1010 of the family's 1533-position model. The record is from RNAcentral.
UCCACGCCGUAAACGUUGGGAACUAGAUGUAGGGACCAUUCCACGGUUUCUGUGUCGCAGCUAACGCAUUAAGUUCCCCGCCUGGGGAGUACGGUCGCAAGACUAAAACUCAAAGGAAUUGACGGGGGCCCGCACAAGCGGCGGAGCAUGCGGAUUAAUUCGAUGCAACGCGAAGAACCUUACCAAGGCUUGACAUAUACGAGAACGGGCUAGAAAUAGU